UAGCACUACACCUGAUUCUCAACUAUAAAUCAUUGUGGUUGGAGAAGAAACUCAUUCUCAACCUCUGAAUAUCUCUCCAAAACCACAACAGCAACCCUGCGAAGAACUUCCAGCAAGACAAUCAGAACAAGAAGCACCUCUUAAUGUCUGCCCUCUAGAACCCUAACACUAGGCCUGCGAAGAACCUUCCGCAAGGCAAACAGAUCAAGAACCUCCAUAAAAUGUGUAAGUUUUAAUUAAUCAUAAUACUUUUUGGUUAUUAGUUAAAACUUUUCUUUGUCGU
Molecule: non-coding RNA, 283 nt
Organism: Arachis ipaensis
Lineage: Eukaryota; Viridiplantae; Streptophyta; Magnoliopsida; Fabales; Fabaceae
Source: RefSeq, a predicted model, not a curated record